CCUGUGGAAAUAGUCUGAAGCCCUCACCAGAAGUAGAUGCCGGCAGCAUGCUUCUUGUACAGCCUGCAGAACGUUCCAUUGUGAGUGCUGUGGCCUGUGUUUCACAUCGUAUGACAACCUGUGGCCCCGCACCUCCCAGACACAGUGCCAGAGUAAGUUCCAGGCCAAGCAGCAUUCACCACUAACUGACUGAAGAACCCUUGGACCUUGAGGGAACGUUGGUGAUAGCUUGGCAAUACUCUCUGCGGGCCUGUGGCCACAGGGUGAGGCUCCUUUGACUGUGGAAAGGGGAGGGAAGAGUGGGAAGGACUGUGUCUUGUAGUUUGAGUGACAGCUCAGCCACAGUACAAUAAAACACCGGGUAGACUUGUGUGGUUUUUGACUCUAAUUCCUGGCUCCUGCAUAGUACCUCCAUACCUGCCCAGGGCCUGGAAGAAGUCACCACCCUAAAGGAAAAGAUACAGGCUUGACUGGCUUUGCCACCUGCUGAUUGUAGAGCCCUAGGGCCUUGAAUGAACAUAGGCAGUACCCAGGGAGUGGUUACAGCAAGACUUGGGUGAGAUGCAGCACUAUGCUGGCUUCAGGUUUGUCCAAACACAGUACUAGUGGUGGUGGCCACAGGGAUUCUUGUGUCACUCUACACCCAGCUUCAGGUGGGUCAGAACAGAGAAAGACACUCUGUUUAUUUGGGAGAAAGUAAGGGAAGAGAACAAGAGUCUCUGCCUGGUAAUCCAGAGAAUUCUGGAUCUUCUCCAAGACUGCCAAGGCAGUAAAUCUAUGAGUCUGCAAGGACCACAGCAUUAGUGGGCUUCAGAUAGACCCCUCACAACACCUAAGUCCUUUCGAAUAUAUGGAAUGCCUUCCUUUCCAAGAAGGAUGAGUACAAACAAGUUCAGACUGUGAAGACUAUAAUAAAUACCUAACUCCUCAAUGUCCAGACACAGGCAAACAUCUACAAGUAUCAAGACAAUCCAGGAAAGCAAGACCUCAC
RNAcentral lists this long non-coding RNA (991 nucleotides) under Papio anubis (olive baboon). RNAcentral describes it as "lncRNA (ENSPANG00000046566.1)". The record is from RNAcentral. Lineage: Eukaryota; Metazoa; Chordata; Mammalia; Primates; Cercopithecidae.